Astatotilapia calliptera (eastern happy) is the source of this 1395-nucleotide long non-coding RNA. The record is from Ensembl. NCBI's taxonomy places the organism in Eukaryota, Metazoa, Chordata, Actinopteri, Cichliformes, Cichlidae.
GUAUCAGACGCCACCUCUCUGGGGACAUCUCAGGCCCUCCAAGGUUUGGAGGCCUAUCUUCACCCACCACCACUUCCCCUGCCAGUGGCGGUAUCGGUGCGUUGGUGGUUCUUUGUGUCUGGGGGUGGGCGUCCGGGUACACACCGGCUCACUCCUUGGCGGCCGCUUAUCGGGGCCUGGAGCCUGGGGCUUGCUGGGGCCACUUCGGAGGUGGGGUGCCCCUGGCCUCUCGGCCUGGGGCUCGGUCACUCAGGCACAGCUGGCUGCCGGCGGAGCUCACGGGCGCGUCACUGCAACUCCCCCUGGCUUCUGCUCCGCGGCUGCUGAGUGAGCCCUCAUCUGGGACUCUCCUCAGCUCUUACUGGGACAGUGGCGCGGCUGCCCCUCUGUUGGUCUUCCUUGGUCUCUUGUGUUCUGGGGGCCUCUGGAUGUCUGGAGUUUUGAUCUCCUCCAUACCUGCUUCAUACCCUGGAGGACGGGGCUGUGGCUCCCCCACACCCUCUAGCAGAUCGUUACAUGGAGAAACCUUUGGAAUGCAAGCAUGCUGAUCCACACAGGUAUGCACACAGGUGUACACACGGGUAUUCACAGACGCGGACUACAGCUUUCUUGGCUGCUGCCUCAAAGCACAUUGUGCGCUGUCUAUCUUGCGUGCUGCACAAUAUCGUUUAUUAUUUAGUAUCUACUGAUAUCUACUGCUAGCUAGUUUAUUGUGAUGGUGCUGUUUUUUUAUUAUGUUGCUCUUUGUUGUUUGCUUUCUCUUCUGUUUUUUUUCUCCAUACAGGUGACCCAGGUGUUUUGUUUGUUUGUUGUUGUUUUUUUUGUUUUUUGUUUUUUUUUCUUUCUUCCCCCCCUUCUCACCGUCUCUUCUCCCCUUUGGUUUUCUCUCUCUCCCUCUCUUUCUUUCAUUCUUUCUCCCUGUCCUAUCCCCCAGUCAUGUCUGUCCCGUUUGUAGCAACUGAAAAUAAAAUAAAUUCAUAAUUAUAAUAAAGGUCAAUCAAAUGGACCAAUAUGGCAAGGCCAUGAUGAUCCACUUGGUAAAAUAAAUCCGCUUGGCAUCUAUCUUGGCCUUAAGACAACAAUUCUGAUGGCUAAAGAUCCAAACGGGACAAAAAAAAAAAAAAAAAAAAAAGAAAUAACAGACUCUUGAGGCCUUCUGUCCAGGCCCCUAAAUUUAACCCAGUUAAUUACCAGUUAAGUACACCAGUCUAGAAGGGAGCUGCCAUUAAUGGAUAUGGCUGAUGGAGGUUGGGCCUACAAGGCCAGUCCUGUCCCUGGUUUUUAUCUGAGACAACCGGGGUAGAAAUUCUGAUCGUUUUGAGGCAGUUAGAGCUGGGUGAAUCGCCUCAUCCACAUUUGUUCUAUCUAAGCUCUGUACAGACUGUUGGGUAACAC